UCUAGCCAUGGGCAGGUUGAAGGUUGGGUAACACUAACUGGAGGACCGAACCGACUAAUGUUGAAAAAUUAGCGGAUGACCUGUGGCUGGGGGUGAAAGGCCAAUCAAACCGGGAGAUAGCUGGUUCUCCCCGAAAGCUAUUUAGGUAGCGCCUCGUGAACUCAUCUCCGGGGGUAGAGCACUGUUUCGGCUAGGGGGCCAUCCCGGCUUACCAACCCGAUGCAAACUGCGAAUACCGGAGAAUGUUAUCACGGGAGACACACGGCGGGUGCUAACGUCCGUCGUGAAGAGGGAAACAACCCAGACCGCCAGCUAAGGUCCCAAAGUCAUGGUUAAGUGGGAAACGAUGUGGGAAGGCCCAGACAGCCAGGAUGUUGGCUUAGAAGCAGCCAUCAUUUAAAGAAAGCGUAAUAGCUCACUGGUCGAGUCGGCCUGCGCGGAAGAUGUAACGGGGCUAAACCAUGCACCGAAGCUGCGGCAGCGACAUUUAGGUGUUGUUGGGUAGGGGAGCGUUCUGUAAGCCUGUGAAGGUGGCCUGUGAGGGUUGCUGGAGGUAUCAGAAGUGCGAAUGCUGACAUAAGUAACGAUAAAGCGGGUGAAAAGCCCGCUCGCCGGAAGACCAAGGGUUCCUGUCCAACGUUAAUCGGGGCAGGGUGAGUCGACCCCUAAGGCGAGGCCGAAAGGCGUAGUCGAUGGGAAACGGGUUAAUAUUCCCGUACUUGGUGUUACUGCGAAGGGGGGACGGAGAAGGCUAUGUUGGCCGGGCGACGGUUGUCCCGGUUUAAGCGUGUAGGUGUGUGUUCCAGGUAAAUCCGGUUCACUUUAACACUGAGGCGUGAUGACGAGGCACUACGGUGCUGAAGCAACAAAUGCCCCGCUUCCAGGAAAAGCCUCUAAGCAUCAGGUAACAUCAAAUCGUACCCCAAACCGACACAGGUGGUCAGGUAGAGAAUACCAAGGCGCUUGAGAGAACUCGGGUGAAGGAACUAGGCAAAAUGGUGCCGUAACUUCGGGAGAAGGCACGCUGACACGUAGGUGAAGUGAUUUACUCAUGGAGCUGAAGUCAGUCGAAGAUACCAGCUGGCUGCAACUGUUUAUUAAAAACACAGCACUGUGCAAACACGAAAGUGGACGUAUACGGUGUGACGCCUGCCCGGUGCCGGAAGGUUAAUUGAUGGGGUCAGCGCAAGCGAAGCUCCUGAUCGAAGCCCCGGUAAACGGCGGCCGUAACUAUAACGGUCCUAAGGUAGCGAAAUUCCUUGUCGGGUAAGUUCCGACCUGCACGAAUGGCGUAAUGAUGGCCAGGCUGUCUCCACCCGAGACUCAGUGAAAUUGAACUCGCUGUGAAGAUGCAGUGUACCCGCGGCAAGACGGAAAGACCCCGUGAACCUUUACUAUAGCUUGACACUGAACAUUGAGCCUUGAUGUGUAG
RNAcentral lists this ribosomal RNA (1432 nucleotides) under Salmonella enterica subsp. enterica. RNAcentral describes it as "partial 23S ribosomal RNA". It matches the Rfam family "Bacterial large subunit ribosomal RNA", at positions 729 to 2141 of the family's 2925-position model. The record is from RNAcentral. Lineage: Bacteria; Pseudomonadati; Pseudomonadota; Gammaproteobacteria; Enterobacterales; Enterobacteriaceae.